AUUUUGGACAAUGUGCGCAAGCCUGAUCCAGCCAUGUCGCGUGAGUGAAGAAGGCCUUCGGGUUGUAAAGCUAUUUCUGACGGAAAGAAAUAGCGCAGGAUAAAACCAUGCGCGGAUGACGGUACCUUCAUAAAAAGCAUCGGCUAACUACGUCCCAGCAUCCGCGGGAAUACGUAGGGUUCGAUCGUUAAUCGGAAUUAUUGGGCGUAAAGCGUGCGCAGGCGUUUGAUUAAUACAGGCGUGAAAUCCCCGGGCUUAACCUGGGAACUGCGCUUGUGACCGGUCAGCUAGAGUACGGCAGAGGGGGGUGGAAUUCCACGUGUAGCAGUGAAAUGCGUAGAGAUGUGGAGGAACACCGAUGGCGAAGGCAGCCCCCUGGGCCGAUACUGACGCUCAUGCACGAAAGCGUGGGUAGCAAACAGG
RNAcentral lists this ribosomal RNA (423 nucleotides) under uncultured bacterium. RNAcentral's name for it is "partial 16S ribosomal RNA". It matches the Rfam family "Bacterial small subunit ribosomal RNA", at positions 361 to 776 of the family's 1533-position model. The record is from RNAcentral.